Molecule: long non-coding RNA, 1450 nt
Organism: Monodelphis domestica (gray short-tailed opossum)
Lineage: Eukaryota; Metazoa; Chordata; Mammalia; Didelphimorphia; Didelphidae
Source: Ensembl
AUGUUUUAUGUUCUAAGGUCCCUCUCAGUUCUGACAUUCUAUAUUCUAUAUUUUCUUUCAGCUCCAACAGCUCCAACAGUUUUAAGUUCUAAGGUCUCUCCAAGUUCUGACAUUCCACAUUCUAUUCCUGCUCCAACAUUCUAUGUUUUAUGUUUUAAGGUCCCUUCCAGUUCUGAUAUUCUACAUUCUGGUCCUGCUCCAACAUUCUAUGUUUUAUGUUCUAAGGUCUUUCCCAGUUCUGACAUUCUUUAUUCUGUUCCAGCUCCAACUUUCCAUGUUUUAUGUUCUAAGGUCCCUCUCAGUUCUGACAAUUUCUGUACUAAGGUUCCUCCCAAUUCUGACAUUCUACCUUCUGUUCUAGCUCUGGCAUCCUAUGUUCUGUGCCCUAAAGUCCCUCCCAGUUCUGACACUCUUCGAUCCCUCCCAUUGUUGACACUCCAUGUACGGUGAUUUUAUGGCCUGACACCUGUUAGGAGAUCAGCUCCAUCACUGUCUCCUCAACCUCCAUCGCUCUAAACAAGGAGAAGGACAUGGAGGGAAUCUGGGCAUGGUGGGCUCUCUCUAGCUAUAGCUGCUUUCUGAGGGCAUUGAACUCAGGUGUCCCAGGCACUGGAAGACGCUGUCUCUCAUCCCCUUCUCGGAUGGAUGGAUGCCCCUCAGAGACGCCCCCUGCCCUUUGCUUCCCUUUAUCCCAUAGGCCACCUCCCUUCCUCCUAUGGGUGCCCCAAUCACCCUCAAACCUGGGGGGUUUCAUUCUGCCUCCCACAACUUCCUGCCUUGCCCCUGCUAGCAGAGACUCUUCCCCAGCUUCCACCAAUUCCUUCCUAGUCCUUGCUAAGCUCUGGAGGUGGCUCUGAGGCUCCCAUGGGGACAGAACCCUUUACCUGAGCUCGGUGCCUGCCUGCCCAGGCUCCACCUGGCUGCCUCCUCUCUCCAGGGAUCCACUUCCAGGCUCCGGGAGCCAGCUCGGAUGGCCGUCCUAAGGUGCUGCGCCCCUCUCUUCUCCGUCGCUGGCUGCCCAGGGGAACGCCAAGUGGUGGGGCUCUUGGAGUAGGGAGGGGAAGCUGAAACCCAAGGGGUGGGGUCCUCAGGCUCCCCUGGGCAGCGUUGGCCUGCCCUCCCGCUUUGUCCCUGGAAAAAUGGCUGCAGGGAUUAAUCAUUAGUAGAUACACAAAGGCUAAAGGAAAGGAGAAAAACCACAAGCUUGGCCCAUGCUGGACUUAACCCAACUUUAGCCAGGACUGUGCUGGGCGGGAACCCAGGCUGGUGCGCUGGCUGCCAGGGAGAGGCAGGUGCGCAGCUCUUGGUGGGGACCCACAGGUUCCUCUUUGGUUCCUGGCCAGCCUGAGCAGCUUAACCCCUUCUCUUCCGGAGGGUCUCUCAUUUUGCAAGGCAGCUCCCCGACCAGAGGGUUGUCUGGGUCCCAAAAGGGUCAGUCCCCUCUACAGGC